CCUACGGGUGGCAGCAGUGAGGAAUCUUGGUCAAUGGACGAAAGUCUGAACCAGCCAUGCCGCGUGCAGGAUGACGGCUCUAUGAGUUGUAAACUGCUUUUUUAUUGGGGUAAACACCCCUACGUGUAUGUGCUUGAAAGUAUGAUACUAAUAAGGAUCGGCUAACUCCGUGCCAGCAGCCGCGGUAAUACGGAGGAUCCAAGCGUUGUCCGGAUUUAUUGGGUUUAAAGGGUGCGUAGGCGGUUUGAUAAGUUAGAGGUGAAAUACCGGUGCUUAACACCGGAACUGCCUCUAAUACUGUUGAACGAGAGAGUAGUUGAGGAAGGCGGAAUGUAUGGUGUAGCGGUGAAAUGCUUAGAGAUCAUACAGAACACCGAUUGCGAAGGCAGCUUACCAAACUAUAUCUGACGUUGAGGCACGAAAGCGUGGGUAGCAAACAGGAUUAGAUACCCUAGUAGUC
RNAcentral lists this ribosomal RNA (460 nucleotides) under uncultured bacterium. RNAcentral describes it as "partial 16S ribosomal RNA". It matches the Rfam family "Bacterial small subunit ribosomal RNA", at positions 338 to 795 of the family's 1533-position model. The record is from RNAcentral.